ACGGGUGAGUAACACGUAUGCAACCAACCCAUAACAGGGGGAUAACCCGGAGAAAUCCGGACUAAUACCGCAUAAGACCACGAUAUCGCAUGAUAUAGAGGUCAAAUAUUUAUAGGUUAUGGACGGGCAUGCGUCUGAUUAGCUGGUUGGCGGGUAACGCCCACCAAGGCAUCGAUCAGUAGGGUUCUGAGAGGAAGGUCCCCCACAUUGGAACUGAGACACGGUCCAAACUCCUACGGGAGGCAGCAGUGAGGAAUAUUGGUCAAUGGGCGAAAGCCUGAACCAGCCAUGUCGCGUGAAAGGAUGAAGGUCCUAUGGAUUGUAAACUUCUUUUGCAGGAGGGUAAAGUGAGCUACGUGUAGUUCAUUGCAAGUACCCUGCGAAUAAGCAUCGGCUAACUCCGUGCCAGCCGCCGC
This 416-nucleotide ribosomal RNA is filed under the name uncultured bacterium. Its description in RNAcentral is "bacterial SSU rRNA". It matches the Rfam family "Bacterial small subunit ribosomal RNA", at positions 102 to 518 of the family's 1533-position model. The record is from RNAcentral.